This 558-nucleotide ribosomal RNA is filed under the name Cercospora chrysanthemi. RNAcentral's name for it is "eukaryotic LSU rRNA". The stretch from base 200 to 353 matches the Rfam family "5.8S ribosomal RNA". Lineage: Eukaryota; Fungi; Ascomycota; Dothideomycetes; Mycosphaerellales; Mycosphaerellaceae. The record is from RNAcentral.
GAAGUAAAAGUCGUAACAAGGUCUCCGUAGGUGAACCUGCGGAGGGAUCAUUACUGAGUGAGGGCCUUCGGGCUCGACCUCCAACCCUUUGUGAACACAACUUGUUGCUUCGGGGGCGACCCUGCCGUUUCGACGGCGAGCGCCCCCGGAGGCCUUCAAACACUGCAUCUUUGCGUCGGAGUUUAAGUAAAUUAAACAAAACUUUCAACAACGGAUCUCUUGGUUCUGGCAUCGAUGAAGAACGCAGCGAAAUGCGAUAAGUAAUGUGAAUUGCAGAAUUCAGUGAAUCAUCGAAUCUUUGAACGCACAUUGCGCCCCUUGGUAUUCCGAGGGGCAUGCCUGUUCGAGCGUCAUUUCACCACUCAAGCCUCGCUUGGUAUUGGGCGCCGCGGUGUUCCGCGCGCCUCAAAGUCUCCGGCUGAGCUGUCCGUCUCUAAGCGUUGUGAUUUCAUUAAUCGCUUCGGAGCGCGGGCGGUCGCGGCCGUUAAAUCUUUCACAAGGUUGACCUCGGAUCAGGUAGGGAUACCCGCUGAACUUAAGCAUAUCAAUAAGCGGAGG